AACUGCAUCGGUUGGAUUGGGAUACUCAUCAAAAAAAUCAUGAAUACCGAGAAGGCUUCUGUUUUUCGAUGGCGUGCCGUUGCACAAAUUUGUGAAGACGGAUUACAAAGAGACAGGGCGCUCAAAUCCUUUCUUACUCGGAGUUUUCAUCACAUCGCUGAUGCAGUUCCUUCU
This 174-nucleotide small RNA is filed under the name Prevotella sp. CAG:617. RNAcentral's name for it is "Bacteroidales-1 6S-Bacteroidales RNA suggested". It matches the Rfam family "Bacteroidales-1 6S-Bacteroidales RNA suggested". Lineage: Bacteria; Pseudomonadati; Bacteroidota; Bacteroidia; Bacteroidales; Prevotellaceae. The record is from Rfam by way of RNAcentral.